GGUUCAUUCAAAUUUCUGCCCUAUCAACUUUCGAUGGUAGGAUAGUGGCCUACCAUGGUUUCAACGGGUAACGGGGAAUUAGGGUUCUAUUCCGGAGAGGGAGCCUGAGAAACGGCUACCACAUCCAAGGAAGGCAGCAGGCGCGCAAAUUACCCAAUCCCGACCGGGGAGGUAGUGACAAUAAAUACUGAUACAGGGCUCUUUUGGGUCUUGUAAUUGGAAUGAGUACAAUUUAAAUCCCUUAACGAGGAACAAUUGGAGGGCAAGUCUGGUGCCAGCAGCCGCGGUAAUUCCAGCUCCAAUAGCGUAUAUUAAAGUUGUUGCAGUUAAAAAGCUCGUAGUUG
This 344-nucleotide ribosomal RNA is filed under the name uncultured fungus. RNAcentral describes it as "SSU rRNA". It matches the Rfam family "Eukaryotic small subunit ribosomal RNA", at positions 292 to 636 of the family's 1831-position model. Lineage: Eukaryota; Fungi. The record is from RNAcentral.